Non-coding RNA from Sus scrofa (pig), 8940 nucleotides. NCBI's taxonomy places the organism in Eukaryota, Metazoa, Chordata, Mammalia, Artiodactyla, Suidae. The record is from RefSeq and is a predicted model, not a curated record.
GCCUGGGAACCUCCAUAUGGUGCAGCCCUAAAAAGACAAGAAACAAAAUAAAUAAAUAAAGUUCAGGCACUUUCAGCACAUGCUCUUGCUUAGAAUACAUCUCGUCCAGCCUCCCCACGAGAUAUCUCCUCAACAUCCCCCUACCAGGCCAUACAGCCUCAAUGUACAGGCCCCUUGCUCUCUGAGGUUCACUGAACAGCAGCUCUAAUGACCCUUGAAGACAUUGACCGUAUUGUUUCUAUUGAGACAAGAACUGCUUCCGGUUCUGGCUGUGCCCUCUGGAUCCACCGGAAGCAAUUCCCUCUGCUGUGAGCUUUGCUCUAAAGGAUUCAGGAUGGCUCCCCCCCACGGACAGUCUUCUCCAGGCUAAAUGUCCUAUUCUUUCAGCCACACCUCCAUACCCAGGCCCUCUCCUGGAGUCACCGCUAGGCCUUCUCUGGAAGAGCUUCAGCUGAUUUCUUCCCCAGGACCUUGAUCAGCCAUACGUGAUCCAGCCACACAGAGGAGACGAGAAAAGUAAAAGAUUCAGAUCGGUUUUCCAGUACUGGCACCUGAAAGCCCCAUAGCCCUGCUGCUGCAACAGGAUCAUCGCACUGUCUGAACCUGGUGGACCCCGAAGAAGAAACGACUUUAUUUUUCCUGGCUCCACGGCCUUUGGCAACACUGGCUUGAGUCUCCUGUUCCUGGCUCUUAAAUAACAGCUGGGGCCAAUCCCAGAGCUUUGGGUCACUCUUGGGUAUAAGGAAGUCCAGUCCGGUCUAGUCCAGGGUAAAACUUGAAUCUCCAAUCCAUUUUAAUGCUCGUAUUCUCCCUGUGCCCAGAACAGACCCUCCUGCAGCUGAAGGGACUUGCAAAGGGGAUAAGAGAUGUUCUUCUCCCCACCCCCACCUUCUAUUUCUGGCCCUUCCAGAGUCUCAGGCCGGGGGGGAGAGGACCUGAAAAGACCAUGGACGCCCUCUGUGGGGCCUGGCUCCAAGUGCUAGCUCUCCUGGCCCCAUGUGGGGUUGUCGGAAUACAUGCAGGAGCCUCCUCUCUGCCACAGAUGGGCAAGCCACAGUCCCCACAGGCUCUAGCCCUUGGGGUUCCCCCCCACCCACAGCCUCCUCUGGCCCCCCCAAGGCCUGCCUUCUGGGGUGGAAUAUUGUAAAAAUCCAAAGGUGGCCCAACCACCUGCCAGGGUCCACUCGGCUCCGAGGACCCUUACACACCCUGACCGUGCCAGGCGGUGGCCCUGCAGACAGCCCCCAGGGACCCCAACACCUCUCUCCAAUGCUCUUCACCCUGGUUCCAGAGGAUGGAGGAGCAAGUUCAUUUCCAGGCAGACAUCCAGCCCGGGAAGAUGAUUUCACCUCCGCGUCUUGUCGUUUCCACGAGGGAUUCCUGGGUGCCCGCUGCCCCCACCUGGCUAAGCCCGGGGAGGAGCGAACCACAGCCUUCUUCCCCCAGGCUGAAACCUCGCAGCUAAAGGGAUCCUCCCUCCUCUUCUCUGAUCUCCUGCUUAUGCAUCCAGGCCGGGAGGACUGAGGACCUCUCUUUGUGCUUGACUGUGAAUCUGCCACGUAGCAAAUGCCAAGGUAGGAGAAAAAGUCAAUCCCUGUUGUGUAUCUUUCAAACCAGGUCUUUCCUGUACUCUCGCGGAGCAAGCGCUUUCUCUUAAUGUCUGGGCCAGAUCUCACGGACUUAGCACUACUUGUUCUCAUCUGGCUGGUUCCAGGCUUCUGAUGGUGUUCUGGUCUAGAAGCCUGGUCCCACGAUGAAAUCCACUCCUGCUCGCUCCCAGCUCCACAUCACCCACAGAUUCGAUAAUUCAGCUUUCUGGGCUGUUAUUCAAGCCUUUGAUGAAAAGAUCAAAGACAACAGGACUGAAUAGAGGACCCUUAAUUCAGGGUGACAUUUAUUCCAGCCUGUCCUUGGUGAACUGCUACUGGCUCCAGCUACUUACCACUUCCUGUUAUCUGAGCUCUAAAACUGUCUGUCUAAUCAGGGCUCACAGGUGCCUGGGCUCCAGUCUACAGCUCCCUCGUCUCCCAGGAUGUCAGUGACCUGGGCUAGGGAUUUGGACUCGCUGAAAAUAGCAAGUGCUUCCUCGCCCAGCUCUGCCAACCCCCUUCCCCCACCACUGCAUCUAGGCAUCUUCAUUCAGCUCAGCUCUGCCCAGCCACACCCCGGCCCCAGCUCCCAAGCAAGCACCGCCUCGCUCAUCCCCUUCCAGGCUCAGCCUCGGCUCCUCUCUCAGGCAACUGGUCUGCCCCUGAGGGGAGGGGCAGGAAGACCGUCACUGAAGCACCCAGAUGACUCAGAUGACCCCAAGAGUUGAGAUCUGCUGACGUCCAGGACCCUUCGGUCGGCUGGGGCUGGGGUGGGUGGAGCAAAGCAUAUUUAUUAAGCAAGAGCCAGGAGCUGGGCUAGGUGUGUUAGCGCAAUUAUCUCUGUCUCCUGGGUGAGGAGCGGUGAGGGAGGUCACAGCACUGGCCUAACGUCCCCGACCAACCAGUUCAGGGGCAGAACCAGGUUCUGAUCUAAGCCUCUGCCCUCUGUUUGCUCUCCUUCCAGGUAGUUAGGGACCCCGUCACUGUCUCCGCAGCCUCCGGAAGACAGAGGAAGCCGGAGCACAGCCCAUCCUGAGCCCCCAGGAGGGAGAAGCAGGUUGAGGGCGAGGGAAGGGGGGGCGGGGAGAAGUGCAUCCCUGACAUCAGGCUGCUGGGAAAUGAGUCCAGUGUUCCUGAGACCUGAAUGAUUUGGGAUUAAGCUUCCAGAUCUGGCACCACAGAUGCGAUAUGAAUCCGUUGCGGCCCCACCCCCAGCCCAUGGCAGGGAACAGAUGGACAGACCCCUCCCUGGGGUCUAAGUAGGGCACUGCUGAGGCUGCUGGGAGGCAGCAGGGGAGCCAAUCAGCCCUGGGGGGCAGAGCAGGGGCAGAUCCAGCUCCACCUCCCCUUCCUGGGCCCCCCACCCUCCAAGACAGUAGAAUCUGAGGGUCAGCUCUCUGCUGCCAACUGUGGGUGGUGCUGCCACACAAGGCAGAGACUCCGGACCCUGGAGCAGCACCGGUCAUUCAGGCACAAGUCAGGCCAUCCUUCCUAAGUCCCAAGUCCAUAGCCUGAGACCACUGGAAGCAACAAGGGACACAAACUUCCUCCUCGGGGCUCCAGAGCAAGGCAUGGGCAGCGUGGUGCUCAGAGCAUCAAGGUCCCGAGCAGGACCAGCCUUGUGUGGCCCUCCCGUCACCAUGAGCACAGCGGGAUGGGGCCAUGGGAGGCCAGACGGAUGCAGAAACAGAAAGAAGGCAACUGUCAGAGCUGGAGGGACCUGGGGACUCCUGAGUCCUCUUCCUGUUCAAGAAGCAAAGGCUGAGGCUCAGCAAGGAGAGGGGACAGGUGCACAGGGAACGGGUGACAGAGCCAGGGGCCCCUUCCACAUCAACGCAAACCACUGAGCUUAACUUGUAACAGCAAAACACAGGAACAGUCCAAAUAUCCACCCGCAGGCAAAGGGAUUAACCGACUGGGUGUUUCCAUGCUCAAGACUAGCGACCACUCAGCAACACGACUGGAUGAACCAAUGAUCCAUGCAAGGCGGCUAAGUCAUAAAGGACCAUGUCAAGUGACCAAAGUCAGACAAAGAGGAAGCAAUGUAGGAUUCUGUUCCUACCAAGCUCUGGAAAGAGUAAAGUAAUCUGGAGGGACAGGCAGUAGAUUGACAGCGACAGCGUCAGAAGGGGCAUUAAGAAGGGGUAUGGGAACGAUUUGGGGUCAUGGGUAUAUUCGCUGUCUUGGCUGUGCUGAUGGUUUUGCGGGCAAGUACACACACUGAGGAAGGGAGGAGGCGGACGCCCGGGAGAGCUGGCCGGGAGGGGAUGGACUUGGAGCAGAGCUGGCCUUGACAGAGCCGGCAUGGAAGGCUGGGAUGAUGCAAACGGCAACAGCCCUGCAGAGGCAGGCGUUUGAAUGAAGGCUCAGACAAAGCAGUGUUCUCAGAAGGAUCCAGAACAAUGGGAAGAGCCCAGGGCUGCCAGGGGGAUGAGGAAAGACGACCCAUGUACAUCUGCUCCAUGCACAUAUGUCUCUGGAGUCUCACAGUACCUACACUUAAGAGUAACCAUCAAAAGAAGGUUAUGGGAGAGAGGAACUAUCAAAAGAAGCAUGGGAGAGAGGAAGGAGGAGGGGAGAGAAGAGGAGCAUGGAAGAGACCCUGGAUGCAUCCACCAAGCUGGGCUCUGUGGAUAUAAGGGAGCCAGAGCAAAGGAAUGGUGCAUGUAACUCAGAGCUUCCAGGAAAUUUUCCUGGCAGCAAAGUGCAGGGACCUCCACUCUGUCCGGAUCAUGCACCUGCUCUCUGGAAGGGCUGGUGCAUCUCCUUACCAGCCUGGAUGGCGGAGUGGCAGGGAGCACACAGCAGGCCCUUCUCCAAGAGUUGGGAGGGCCUGGGAUGCCCCAGCUUCUGCUCCCAGAGCAGAGAACAAGCUACUCCCCUCGCCUCCCAGGGAGGCCAACGAGGGCCUGUGGCACAGCCAGGAAGGGCAAAGAUUUCCAAAGCUCUGUGAUGGAAUCUCUCCCUGGUUCUCCCUGUCCUCACGUUUCACAGGCACCUCCAACCCACAGCUCAUAUCUUCUGGAAGCGGCAGUAGCCCCAGCAGCCCUGCCUCCAGGGCAGGAAGGAGGAAUACAGGCCUGCAGGAGUGUGCUGGGCCCAGGAGGGGCAAGUACAACAUGUCUACUUGGCUCCUCCACCACCUAACUGCUCAGAAGACCCAAGCCCCUCCCCCAGAGCCAGCUCUGGGCAAACGAAUAGGCUCCCUGGAUGAUGGGCCCGCUGUCUGCCUGGACCAGACCGCUGUCAGACUGUCCCCAAUUCAACCAUCAAAAAUGAACAGCCCCUGCCUUCACUCCAUCCCUCUCUGGGGCGUGAAAAUGAAGCUUGUAAUCUACCAUACCCGGCACAGCACUUUACAGUCGACCCCUUCAUCUCCUUCCUGAUCCUGUGAAGCAGCUAAAAUCAUGCCCACCCUCCAGAUAAGGGUUUCACACUUCAGCUGGGCCUGUGGACCUGUCUACGGUCCCACAGCUAACGUUUAGGGGGAGGGAACUUAAAGCUUCCAAGCCAGCUUGCCAAAGGGCCAGAAGCAUGAGGACCAGACAGAUUCUCACUGGGAAGCUUGCGGCCAGCACCGGGCAGAACACAUCACUGCACAAGACCCGGUCAGAGUUAGAAGGAACCCCACAGGCAUCCCAGCCGGCUUCGUCUCACCCUUCAGGCAACUGAAGCCUGAGAAGGACCAAGGAGGCGGUCAUGGGAAAUUGUACUUUAAGCUCCUGGGAACUGAGAGACUAAGAAUCUAGGAGCGGCCCCGACCGGCUGGCCCUGGGGGUCCUUGAUGGUGGCAGAGGGUGCACAGGCAGAGUUACAAGGGGUGCAGGCUCAGCCCAUCCCCCAUUCCCAUAGCACAGGCAGACACGCUGAGCCUGUCCCCCAGAAGCCAAGGCCACGUUAAAAUUCUCCAGGACAGGGAAGAGAGCAGCCACCAGGUGCUGGCACGAUGGGAGGCAGGCGUCACCCUCCCCAUUUUGCAAAGAAGCCAAGGCUCCGAAGGUUGAACAACCUCCGCAACGGCACAAGUAGGAAGGAGCAGAGUCGGGACGAAAAAACGCAGCAUUCGUCCCACCACCCUCACUCCCCUCAGGCUGGGCUACUGGGCUGCCGGGGGACUUGCCCGCAGCUCAUCGGCUCAGCCUCCAGCCCUGAGAUGAGGUCUCUGGGGUCCUUCCGCUGGGCUUCUCCAUCUGGCAUCAUUCAGGGCUGACUCCUGGCCCCUCACCCAAGAUUGCCCUCAUCAGACAGUGCAGAGGCAGUCAGGCCUGCCAGGAGCAAUUCACCAGAUCCACAACUUGAGAAUCUCCAGGGAACCAACCUGGGAAUCUGCAUUUUAACAGGAGCCUUCCGGAAGCACAAUUUUGGAGAAAGAACGUGCGAAAGACUGGCAUCUGCUGCUUUCAGCAAAGAUCCUCCCCAGGUCUCUCCAGGUUGGAGAAAGGAAAACCUAUUUGCAGUCUCUUCUCUCAGGGCUAAAGCGAGCUGGAUGCCCCUCCCCCGCCUCCCACCACCCCCGGGGGGGGCGGGAAUCAAAAAGGAGCGCCUUCUGGGAGGCACAACUUCCGGGGGUGAAAACCCUUCCCCUUGGCGGGGAGGGGAAGAUGCCCCUUCCUCCAGGCACCUCCACGGCUCAGGUGGGGGCGGAGCCAGGAGGCGCCGAGGCCCCGCCCACGAGGUCACCUCCAGCUCCGGAUUACGUGCCCUGCCUGCCCCCUCCCGGCUAAAACCCAUCUUCUGCUGUCAAGAAAAAGGUCGUCUGCCUGGAGUCGCUGAAAAUUACACGUUAACAGCCUUACAGAUUUCCAGCAGUUUCAAAUGCUGGCUUUGGCCAAAAACUUCUUUAAAAGGCCAUCCUCCCUUCUUAUUCCAUAGCGUUUACAUUUUAUAACAUUUAAACAGAACCGCUUUCAAACACAGAUAGGCAGUACUUUCCUGACAUGUCCCCAUAAAAAGUAAAAUCUGGGAAGCGUCUGCGGUGGACGGCUGGGGAAUGCCUUCUGUGCCCAGCAGUGAUUAGCUCCAUCUGCAAAAUAGUUCCCAACGCUGCUGCCUCAAACUAGGAGCUCCUUCCUCCGAGAAGCCCUCCUGCCUCCCGUCUGGGCUCCGUGCCAUGGAUAUCUGUCCACAGAAGACGUCCUUUGUUGAAGUUGCGGUUAUGGCUCAGUGGAAACGCAUCUGACUAGGAACCAUGAGGUUGUGGGUUUGAUCCUUGGCCUCGCUCAGUGGGUCAAGGAUCCGGUGUUGCCAGGAGCUGUGGUGUAGGUCGCAGAUGCGGCUCAGAUCCAGUGUGGCUGUGGUGGCUGUGGGUCGGCCAGCAGCUAUAGCUCCAGUUAGACUCCUAGCCUGGGAGCCUCCAUAUACCCUGGGCAUAUAUCCAGACAAAACUAAAAAGACCAAAAAAAAAAAAAAGAUGUCCUUUGUAGACGCGGCUGAGUCUCCACACUUCUUUGAAAAAACCUUUUAAAGUAUAGUUGAUUUCCAAUGUUGUGCCAACUUCUGCUGCACAGCGAAGUGACUCAGUCAUACAUAUAUAUCCAUUCCCUUUCUUACAUUAUCCUCCAUCACGGUCUAUCCUGAGAGACUGGAUAUAGUCCCCUGAGCUGUACGGUAGGACCUAGCAGCUUCUCCUUUCGAAAUGUAACAGUUUGCAUCUACUAACCCCAAACGCGCAGCCCAUCCCACUCUCUCCUUCCUCCCUCUUGGCAACCACAAGCCUGUUUUCCAUGUCUGUGAGUCUGUUUCUGUUUUGUAGAUAGGUUCAUUUGUGUCAUAGUUUAGAUUCCACAUGGAAAUGAUAUCAUAUGGUAUUUGUCUUUCUGACUGACUUCACUUAGCAUGAUCAUCUCUAGUUGCCUCCCUGUUGCUGCAUUAUUUCAUUCUUUUUUAUGCCUGCGUAGUAGUCCAUUGUGUAUAUAUGUACCGCAUAUUCUUAAUCCAUUCAUCUGUUGCAGAGCAUUUGGCAAUGCCACUCCUGGGCAUACAUCCAGACAAAACUAUAAUUCAAAAGUUACCUGCACCCCUGUGUUCAUAGCAGCAGUAUUCACAGUAGCCGAGAGUCUCCACUCUUUAUAUGCGUGACAGCUACAUUUCCUGAGCUCUUCUGAUGUGUCAAGGGCAGAGACUACUAAGAGAACUACAGAUGAUAGUUUAUUUGCCAGAACAACCCUACAGGUAGCUAUGACUAUUAUACCCAUUUUGCAGAUGGGAAACAGAGGCUCAGACAGGUCAACAGAUCUACUCACUAUUGAGCCCAUGCUCAUGUUCUUCAAGGCCCUCAGACCCAGACAGUGAACCCCUAAACCAACAGGGAGUCUGGAACCUCCCUCCAGGCCUGGGGUCCUGCCAACCUCUUAAGCAGGCCCACCUGCCAUCAUGGUUGAGGAUGCGUGACUGCAUCCUCCACCAUUUGACCCCAAGAGAAGCAGAGCCCUCAGCCCCUCUUUUGGUUAUUCUGCAUCUCUCUGAAUCACUCACCUUACAAAACCCAAGAUACUCCUGGGAGUUGCUUUUUGAUGUUAAAAUUUCCUCAGGUGACUCACAAUCAUUUUUAAAAGCUGAGCGGGCCCCAGGCCCAGCAUCCCUCCUUUAGCAGCAGGGGCAGCACGCCAUCUAGUGGCUGUGUGGUGAACCUCGCAUUGGCCAACAUGCAGGAGCAGAGCCUGGCAUCCGAGAGGCCCUUGGGUUGUUGUCAGGUGGUCAAACUGAAGUUCAGAGAGGGAGAGUGACCAGUCUGCAGACACACAGCAAGUUAGCAUUCAGUCUCCAGGACCAUAACCCAGCUCUUGAGCAGUAAGACCGUGCUUCCCCAACUUCCCUAGUGUUCCAAGGAAGCAGUGUGCUGGGUGGGAGCACAUCUCAGUUCUUGCAGUUAUGAGAGUGAAGUGUCCUGUUCACAGGGACGCCAUCUUCCUGGUACUGCAUCCUUUAUUCUCUUUAUCAUUUGAACAGGUAAAGGCACACAUGGAAUCAAAUCCGAAAGGUUGCAAAAGGGUACAUGGUGAAAACUGAGUUUUUACAGCCCUCUGCCACCAAUUCCAUUCCAGAGCUAUCAGUUUCUACUUGUCUGUCCAGAUUGUCUGUAAUUUACAAAGAUAUAUAUUUUGUUACUUUUCUACACAAAUAGUAGCAUUUCCUACGCAAGGCUCCAAACAAGACACCUUGAAGGUCGUUGCACCUCCGUAUAUGAAGAGCAUCGUUAUCCCUUUAAAGCCACACUGUAUCCCCUGUGGGUAGUAUAUGAAGGUACCAUUUAACCACUUUACUGUUGAUGGACAUUUAGGUGGUUGCCAAUCCGCUGCUUUAACAAAUAUAUAUGGGAAAUCAACUUGAGAAUAAAUUCCUGGAUGAGGAA